GAUGAACGCUGGCGGCGUGCCUAAUACAUGCAAGUCGAGCGAACGGACGAGAAGCUUGCUUCUCUGAUGUUAGCGGCGGACGGGUGAGUAACACGUGGAUAACCUACCUAUAAGACUGGGAUAACUUCGGGAAACCGGAGCUAAUACCGGAUGAUAUUUUGAACCGCAUGGUUCAAAAGUGAAAGACGGUCUUGCUGUCACUUAUAGAUGGAUCCGCGCUGCAUUAGCUAGUUGGUAAGGUAACGGCUUACCAAGGCAACGAUGCAUAGCCGACCUGAGAGGGUGAUCGGCCACACUGGAACUGAGACACGGUCCAGACUCCUACGGGAGGCAGCAGUAGGGAAUCUUCCGCAAUGGGCGAAAGCCUGACGGAGCAACGCCGCGUGAGUGAUGAAGGUCUUCGGAUCGUAAAACUCUGUUAUUAGGGAAGAACAUAUGUGUAAGUAACUGUGCACAUCUUGACGGUACCUAAUCAGAAAGCCACGGCUAACUACGUGCCAGCAGCCGCGGUAAUACGUAGGUGGGCAGCGUUAUCCGGAAUUUAUGGGCGUAAAGCGCGCGUANGCGGUUUUUUAAGUCUGAUGUGAAAGCCCACGGCUCAACCGUGGAGGGUCAUUGGAAACUGGAAAACUUGAGUGCAGAAGAGGAAAGUGGAAUUCCAUGUGUAGCGGUGAAAUGCGCAGAGAUAUGGAGGAACACCAGUGGCGAAGGCGACUUUCUGGUCUGUAACUGACGCUGAUGUGCGAAAGCGUGGGGAUCAAACAGGAUUAGAUACCCUGGUAGUCCACGCCGUAAACGAUGAGUGCUAAGUGUUAGGGGGUUUCCGCCCCUUAGUGCUGCAGCUAACGCAUUAAGCACUCCGCCUGGGGAGUACGACCGCAAGGUUGAAACUCAAAGGAAUUGACGGGGACCCGCACAAGCGGUGGAGCAUGUGGUUUAAUUCGAAGCAACGCGAAGAACCUUACCAAAUCUUGACAUCCUUUGACAACUCUAGAGAUAGAGCCUUCCCCUUCGGGGGACAAAGUGACAGGUGGUGCAUGGUUGUCGUCAGCUCGUGUCGUGAGAUGUUGGGUUAAGUCCCGCAACGAGCGCAACCCUUAAGCUUAGUUGCCAUCAUUAAGUUGGGCACUCUAAGUUGACUGCCGGUGACAAACCGGAGGAAGGUGGGGAUGACGUCAAAUCAUCAUGCCCCUUAUGAUUUGGGCUACACACGUGCUACAAUGGACAAUACAAAGGGCAGCGAAACCGCGAGGUCAAGCAAAUCCCAUAAAGUUGUUCUCAGUUCGGAUUGUAGUCUGCAACUCGACUACAUGAAGCUGGAAUCGCUAGUAAUCGUAGAUCAGCAUGCUACGGUGAAUACGUUCCCGGGUCU
RNAcentral lists this ribosomal RNA (1372 nucleotides) under uncultured bacterium. Its description in RNAcentral is "bacterial SSU rRNA". It matches the Rfam family "Bacterial small subunit ribosomal RNA", at positions 28 to 1381 of the family's 1533-position model. The record is from RNAcentral.